CCUACGGGGGGCGGCAGUGGGGAAUAUUGGACAAUGGGCGAAAGCCUGAUCCAGCCAUGCCGCGUGAGUGAUGAAGGCCCUAGGGUUGUAAAGCUCUUUCAGUGGGGAAGAUAACGACGGUACCCACAGAAGAAGCCCCGGCUAACUUCGUGCCAGCAGCCCCGGUC
This 167-nucleotide ribosomal RNA is filed under the name uncultured bacterium. Its description in RNAcentral is "partial 16S rRNA". It matches the Rfam family "Bacterial small subunit ribosomal RNA", at positions 338 to 522 of the family's 1533-position model. The record is from RNAcentral.